Molecule: ribosomal RNA, 442 nt
Filed under: uncultured bacterium
Lineage: Bacteria
Description: partial 16S ribosomal RNA
Rfam family: Bacterial small subunit ribosomal RNA
Source: RNAcentral
CCUACGGGUGGCAGCAGUGGGGAAUAUUGGGCAAUGGGCGCAAGCCUGACCCAGCAACGCCGCGUGAAGGAAGAAGGCUUUCGGGUUGUAAACUUCUUUUGACAGGGAAGAGUAGAAGAGGGUAUCUGUCGAAUUAGCCAUGGCUAACUACGUGCCAGCAGCCGCGGCAAUACGUAGGUGGCAAGCGUUGUCCGGAUUUACUGGGUGUAAAGGGCGUGUAGGCGGGUUGGCAAGUCAGAUGUGAAAGCCUGCGGCUUAACCGCAGAACUGCAUUUGAAACUGUUGAUCUUGAGUACUGGAGAGGCAGACGGAAUUCCUGGUGUAGCGGUGAAAUGCGUAGAUAUUAGGAGGAACACCAGUGGCGAAGGCGGUCUGCUGGACAGCAACUGACGGUGAGGCGCGAAAGCGUGGGGAGCAAACAGGAUUAGAUACCCCAGUAGUC